UACGAAGGGGGCUAGCGUUGCUCGGAAUCACUGGGCGUAAAGGGUGCGUAGGCGGGUCUUUAAGUCAGGGGUGAAAUCCUGGAGCUCAACUCCAGGACUGCCUUUGAUACUGAGGAUCUUGAGUUCGGGAGAGGUGAGUGGAACUGCGAGUGUAGAGGUGAAAUUCGUAGAUAUUCGCAAGAACACCAGUGGCGAAGGCGGCUCACUGGCCCGAUACUGACGCUGAGGCACGAAAGUGUGGGGAGCAAACAGG
This 253-nucleotide ribosomal RNA is filed under the name uncultured bacterium. RNAcentral describes it as "partial 16S ribosomal RNA". It matches the Rfam family "Bacterial small subunit ribosomal RNA", at positions 524 to 776 of the family's 1533-position model. The record is from RNAcentral.